UACGUAGGGUGCAAGCGUUGUCCGGAAUUAUUGGGCGUAAAGCGCGCGCAGGCGGUUUCUUAAAUCUGAUGUGAAAGCCCACGGCUCAACCGUGGAGGGUCAUUGGAAACUGGGAGACUUGAGUGCAGAAGAGAAGAGCGGAAUUCCACGUGUAGCGGUGAAAUGCGUAGAGAUGUGGGAGAACACCGGUGGCGAAGGCGGCCUGCUGGGCAGUUUAGCUGACACUGAGGCGCGACAGCGGUGGGGAGCAAACAGG
Molecule: ribosomal RNA, 256 nt
Filed under: uncultured bacterium
Lineage: Bacteria
Description: partial 16S ribosomal RNA
Rfam family: Bacterial small subunit ribosomal RNA
Source: RNAcentral